RNAcentral lists this ribosomal RNA (209 nucleotides) under uncultured bacterium. Its description in RNAcentral is "partial 16S ribosomal RNA". It matches the Rfam family "Bacterial small subunit ribosomal RNA", at positions 524 to 729 of the family's 1533-position model. The record is from RNAcentral.
UACGUAGGGUGCAAGCGUUGUCCGGAAUUAUUGGGCGUAAAAGAGCUCGUAGGCGGUUUUGUUGCGUCGGCUGUGAAAUCCCGAGCUCAACCUCGGGUCUGCAGUCGAUACGAGCAAACUAGAGUGUUGCAGGGGAGACUGGAAUUCCUGGUGUAGCGGUGAAAUGCGCAGAUAUCAAGGAGGAACACCGGUGGCGUAAGGCGGUUCUC